Molecule: long non-coding RNA, 283 nt
Organism: Arvicola amphibius (Eurasian water vole)
Lineage: Eukaryota; Metazoa; Chordata; Mammalia; Rodentia; Cricetidae
Exons: 3
Source: RefSeq, a predicted model, not a curated record
GGGAACCUCCAGCUGGCGACAGAUGGGGAAGGAGACAAUGCUGCCUUGGAAAAAAGAAUCCUCGUGCUCUCCUUACUGGCACAGCUAAAACUUCGAGAAACACAGGCAUGCCCAUUCCUGUGUGGCAUUCUAAAGACAGAAGCUGAACAGCACUGGUGAUGAGCUGUCAACGGGCACCGUGAAGAAACAAACAACAGGACCUAUGUUAACUGUGGGUUCACCCUUUGGUCUGCAAUGGGAAGAGCUGAUCACUGUAAUCAAAGUAUAAACAAAGCUGAUUCAA